UACGAAGGGGGCUAGCGUUGCUCGGAAUCACUGGGCGUAAAGGGUGCGUAGGCGGGUCUUUAAGUCAGGGGUGAAAUCCUGGAGCUCAACUCCAGAACUGCCUUUGAUACUGAAGAUCUUGAGUUCGGGAGAGGUGAGUGGAACUGCGAGUGUAGAGGUGAAAUUCGUAGAUAUUCGCAAGAACACCAGUGGCGAAGGCGGCUCACUGGCCCGAUACUGACGCUGAGGCACGAAAGCGUGGGGAGCAAACAGGGA
RNAcentral lists this ribosomal RNA (255 nucleotides) under uncultured bacterium. Its description in RNAcentral is "partial 16S ribosomal RNA". It matches the Rfam family "Bacterial small subunit ribosomal RNA", at positions 524 to 778 of the family's 1533-position model. The record is from RNAcentral.